GGUCCCCGCGUCUCUCUGCUUUUGUUACCCCUCCCCUCGCUCCCUCCCGCUCCCCGCCCCCGCGUGGCACUGCGGAGCCGGAGACGUGACCCGAGCGGACUCGCUUCCCCGCAGCUCCAGCCUCUCGCCGCAGAGUCGCAUGUCCUCGAUCCAGAACCUCCAAUCCUUCGACCCCUUUGCUGAUGCAACAAAGGGCGACGACUUACUCCCGGCGGGGACUGAGGAUUACAUUCAUAUAAGGAUCCAGCAACGAAACGGAAGAAAGACACUAACAACUGUUCAGGGCAUUGCAGAUGAUUAUGACAAGAAGAAACUUGUGAAAGCUUUCAAAAAGAAAUUUGCUUGUAAUGGUACUGUGAUUGAGCAUCCUGAAUACGGUGAAGUUAUCCAGCUGCAAGGUGACCAGAGGAAGAACAUUUGCCAAUUCCUCUUGGAGAUUGGCAUUGUCAAGGAAGAACAACUGAAAGUUCAUGGUUUCUAACCAGCUGUACUCUUAUGAAGAACCCUGCAGUAUUGGUCUUACCUGUCCUGUAUCUUCUGUGAAAAAUGAAUCUUUGCAAUGAAUGGACUUCCGUAUUACCUGAACAUUUACAAUCUGAUUUGCAUGACUGCAUGAAACAGAUUUUUGAGUUCAGAAAUGAACACUUAAGGCACUAGCAACAAUUAGGGGAGCAUUAUAUGAUGAUUUCUUUCCCCGUCUGCUCUAGAAAAUUCCACUUGUAGAAAUCCAGUCUCUCAAUCUCCACAAAUUCUGCCUGAUGUUACAGAUCUUAAUUGUUCCAGAGCAAGGAUGCUCCAGAAGAUUGUAUACUGUUAAUGUACAGUAAGUUCAGGAGGAGGAAAUGCCUCAUGCAAAGCGCAAAAUACCCACAUACCAAAUGGAAAUCCUGAAGUAAAUCUUAUGCAAGUCUUGCAGAUGAGCAGAAUAAAGUCAUUGUACUGCAAGUUUACCUAGUCCUGAUUCUUAACUGCUAAAGUAAUAAAUCUUUUGGGGGUACAUAGCAAUUAGUGAUUUUCAUUUUAUCACAUGCCAGAAGAACUGAUGUUCUCAUUUAAAGCUUGUUUCUCAGUUAAAGCCUGUCCUCCUGCCCAAGAGGAAAAACAAGCAGUGUCUUCUACUUUGCUGGUAUUAUACAAGUACUUCUUGUGGGCUUUGAAUUGAAGAUUAACAAAUGACUAGCAGGUCUCAUGUUACUGAGUCAGUCUUCAUUUCAGAUGGCAUUCCUUUAACUUUCACUACCUAAGCUUGAGUCAUUUCUCCAUAGUCAUUCUGCCUGGAAUAAAUAAGAAAAAUCUUCAGUUUUCUUCUUCCUCAUUUACAAAUCCUUUCUAAUUGGAAGAACCUUGCAGCUGAUGGGUGGCUUGGGUGGACAUGGUUGUGUUUUGACCUUUGAAGGGUAAAAUUAUAAGGAGAUGGAAUAAGACAUAAUACAUUUGAAAUUUUUAAGAGGUGAGAUUUUUUCUGGCAACAAACCAUUCAAUCUUUCUAGAAGGAAAGCAGAAAUUUUUGUCCAUGAGUGUUUUAAACUAAAACAAUGUUUCUAAGAUUGAAAUUAGCUUUGUUACAAGCCCAAAGCUCUUAGUAUGUUCUAGAUAAAAGGCUUCAACAAUAUAAUGUCUUGUCAUCUUAUUCUGAAACUUCUUUAUCAAAGCUAAAUUUAUUUGGAAUACAUAUCUAUGUUUUAAAAAUGCUGAAAAUGAAGGCUUUGGAAAGUAACUGUUUAAAGUGCUGCCACAAAAAUCUGUUUUCAGAACGAAGGCAGGUUUCAAUCUUUAUUUAUUCCAAAAUAGGUUAAAAAAUGUUGAAGGAUGUGGCCCAUAAUUGUCAAGGCAGUAAGAAGGAGCUUAUAAUAGCUUAACUCUUUUGAAGUCCACUAGUAGGACUAGUAGGAGCUGGUCAAGCUCAAACUGCAAAGAAUGUUUUUUUGUUGGAAUAUCGUGAAGUCUGUGUCCUUCAGACCUACCAAUAAAGACUGCAUUCUUACUGAUACUUGGGCUUGAUCUCCAGGUGUUAUUGGAUGUAGAAACUUGGUUUGAAUUCACAGCCUUGUGCACAGGUUUAUUACGCUGUUCUAGCUGUCUCUGAGCUGAUACCUUGGAGUAAGGUGUUGCAUAAAUAAAUUCAUUAAAUUGUC
This is an RNA transcript of Prinia subflava (tawny-flanked prinia), 2135 nucleotides long. It is a transcript of the gene named eukaryotic translation initiation factor 1B, with no coding region annotated. The transcript is spliced from 5 exons. NCBI's taxonomy places the organism in Eukaryota, Metazoa, Chordata, Aves, Passeriformes, Cisticolidae. The record is from RefSeq and is a predicted model, not a curated record.